UGGGGAAUCUUGGACAAUGGGGGCAACCCUGAUCCAGCCAUGCCGCGUGAGUGAUGAAGGCCUUAGGGUCGUAAAGCUCUUUCGCCUGUGAAGAUAAUGAGGUAGCAGGUAAAGAAACCCCGGCUAACUCCGUGCCAGCAGCCGCGGUAAUACGGAGGGGGUUAGCGUUGUUCGGAAUUACUGGGCGUAAAGCGCACGUAGGCGGACCAGAAAGUUGGGGGUGAAAUCCCGGGGCUCAACCCCGGAACUGCCUCCAAAACUAUUGGUCUAGAGUUCGAGAGAGGUGAGUGGAAUUCCAAGUGUAGAGAUGAAAUUCGUAGAUAUUUGGAGGAACACCAGUGGCGAAGGCGGCUCACUGGCUCGAUACUGACGCUGAGGUGCGAAAGUGUGGGGAGCAAACAGGAUUAGAUACCCUGGUAGUCCACACCGUAAACGAUGAAUGCCAGUCGUCGGGUAGCAUGCUAUUCGGUGACACACCUAACGGAUUAAGCAUUCCGCCUGGGGAGUACGGUCGC
This 515-nucleotide ribosomal RNA is filed under the name uncultured bacterium. RNAcentral describes it as "bacterial SSU rRNA". It matches the Rfam family "Bacterial small subunit ribosomal RNA", at positions 355 to 889 of the family's 1533-position model. The record is from RNAcentral.